AUUGAACGCUGGCGGCAGGCCUAACACAUGCAAGUCGAAUGGUAACAGGAAACAGCUUGCUGUUUCGCUGACGAGUGGCGGACGGGUGAGUAAUGUCCGGGAAACUGCCUGAUGGAGGGGGAUAACUACUGGAAACGGUAGCUAAUACCGCAUAACGUCGCAAGACCAAAGAGGGGGACCUUCGGGCCUCUUGCCAUCAGAUGUGCCCAGAUGGGAUUAGCUAGUAGGUGGGGUAACGGCUCACCUAGGCGACGAUCCCUAGCUGGUCUGAGAGGAUGACCAGCCACACUGGAACUGAGACACGGUCCAGACUCCUACGGGAGGCAGCAGUGGGGAAUAUUGCACAAUGGGCGCAAGCCUGAUGCAGCCAUGCCGCGUGUAUGAAGAAGGCCUUCGGGUUGUAAAGUACUUUCAGCGGGGAGGAAGGGAGUAAAGUUAAUACCUUUGCUCAUUGACGUUACCCGCAGAAGAAGCACCGGCUAACUCCGUG
RNAcentral lists this ribosomal RNA (490 nucleotides) under uncultured bacterium. RNAcentral describes it as "partial 16S ribosomal RNA". It matches the Rfam family "Bacterial small subunit ribosomal RNA", at positions 30 to 507 of the family's 1533-position model. The record is from RNAcentral.